ACCACUCGUAUUGUUCUUUACCUUUCUCUUUCAGAGACAGCAUUUUAGGGGAAUCAUAAUCCGGCUGAGCUAUAGGCCGGAGAGCCGGGCUCGUUACAACAAUACCAAGAGACCAAGAGAGAUGUUAUUGCUUAUGUGUGCAACCCUGCUAAGCACCAAACAAAUCAUAAACGGACGUCGCUUCUGUAUUGGAACAUAAGAUGAUAAAACAUUUUAGGAAUGAGUCCUGUUAUCUAUUCCGUUUUCUUUUUUACCUUUUGUGGAAUCUUUAAAAGCCCAUGUUGUCAAACGAACGGUCUUCUUUUGGAUAACAGCCUUCACAUCAGCGAUAUCCAGAUUGGAGUUCUGGUGAGAAUCGGUCGCCAUUUGAUUUCCGUUUUCGGAAGUGAGGAGUUCCGGUCCCACGAAUAUCCAGCAUUUUCAUUGGUCCCUUGAGUGGGAUCGUCCCCAAGAAAAAGUUGUUAUGAAUAUAAUUCCUUUUACUUUUAUUUAUUAUAUUUAUA
Molecule: long non-coding RNA, 503 nt
Organism: Ceratitis capitata (Mediterranean fruit fly)
Lineage: Eukaryota; Metazoa; Arthropoda; Insecta; Diptera; Tephritidae
Exons: 3
Source: RefSeq, a predicted model, not a curated record